Long non-coding RNA from Apis laboriosa (Himalayan honeybee), 693 nucleotides. RefSeq lists it as uncharacterized. The transcript is spliced from 3 exons. NCBI's taxonomy places the organism in Eukaryota, Metazoa, Arthropoda, Insecta, Hymenoptera, Apidae. The record is from RefSeq and is a predicted model, not a curated record.
GAAUUUUUUCAUUUCACACGGUCACGCAGAUGGUGGUGGACGGAAGUUUACGUGGACGAGAGCGAGGAAUGCGUGAGUAGAUGAAACUGGACAGGGGGGUAAUGGCGGGUAGACGGGCGUGCAGCUGUGGCCGAAUCUAGGUCCGAUUCUGGGCUGGAAUCACGUGCACACUGCUGUUGACUGCACUUUGAAAUCGGGGCUAUGUGGCUCGCGGGGGGGGGCGAUAAAGCUGUCUCUGAGGCCGUAUCCGAUAGAACGAGGACGAGCGUGCAUUAGUGGAGGAUCUGUUUGUGUAUGCACGAAUCACGAGGAGGAAAGUGAGCGCUUCGAAGCAGCCGUUUUAUCACAUGUGAGAAUCGAUGAGGAGUGAAGAUCGAGUUAUUCUUUCUGCGUCUCAAUUCAUCGGCCUUGAUCCAGAGGAUGUGAAAAAUAUCAGUGGCAAAUGGGACGCAACACGAUUGUAAAGAAGAAUUGUAAACAAGUACAAGGUUCGCCGAAUAAUAAGCCAGACCCUAACAACAUUAAUGGUUCCUUAUUAUUUUUUUAAAUAAAUUCGUAACGAGAUUAAGUUAUUCCCAAAAAUUUUAAAUCUUCUCAAACAAUCGAAAUUUUUCAAAAUUUUCAAAUUUUUUUCCUUUCGACCAAAACAAGAUCCAAUAUUCAUCGAUGAAUGAUAUUAAAAAAAUAAUAACA